RNAcentral lists this non-coding RNA (48 nucleotides) under Schistosoma curassoni. The record is from RNAcentral. Lineage: Eukaryota; Metazoa; Platyhelminthes; Trematoda; Strigeidida; Schistosomatidae.
AUCCAGCUGACGAGUUCCAAAUAAAACGAAGCGCGUGUCAAAUUGUAU